AUACGUAGGGUGCAAGCGUUAAUCGGAAUUACUGGGCGUAAAGCGUGCGCAGGCGGUUUUGUAAGACAGAGGGGAAAUCCCCGGGCUCAACCUGGGGACUGCCUUUGUGACUGCAAGGCUAGAGGACGGCAGAGGGGGAUGGAAUUCCGCGUGUAGCAGUAAAAUGCGUAGAUAUGCGGAGGAACACCGAUGGCGAAGGCAAUCCCCUGGGCCUGUACUGACGCUCAUGCACGAAAGCGUGGGGAGCAAACAGGAUUAGAUACCCUGGUAGUCCACGCCCUAAACGAUGUCAACUGGUUGUUGGGUCUUCAUUGACUCAGUAACGAAGCUAACGCGUGAAGUUGACCGCCUGGGGAGUACGGCCGCAAGGUUGAAACUCAAAUGAAUUGACGGGG
This 395-nucleotide ribosomal RNA is filed under the name uncultured bacterium. RNAcentral's name for it is "partial 16S ribosomal RNA". It matches the Rfam family "Bacterial small subunit ribosomal RNA", at positions 523 to 918 of the family's 1533-position model. The record is from RNAcentral.